GAGUUUGAUCCUGGCUCAGAACGAACGCUGGCGACGUGCUUAACACAUGCAAGUCGAACGUGAUCCGGAGCUUGCUCCGGUGAAAGUGGCGCACGGGUGAGUAACGCGUGGAUAAUCUGCCCUGGUAUCUGGGAUAACAUCUCGAAAGGGGUGCUAAUACCGGAUAAGCCCACGGGAUCCUCGGAUUCUGCGGGAAAAGGUGGCCUCUAUUUAUAAGCUACCGUAUCAGGAUGAGUCCGCGUACCAUUAGCUAGUUGGUGGGGUAAUGGCCCACCAAGGCUACGAUGGUUAGCUGGUUUGAGAGGAUGGUCAGCCACACUGGGAUUGAGAUACGGCCCAGACUCCUWCGGGAGGCAGCAGCAAGGAAUAUUGUGCAAUGGGCGAAAGCCUGACACAGCGACGCCGCGUGGAGGAUGAAGGCUCUCGGGUUGUAAAGCUCUGUCGAGGGGAAAGAAGUGUACUUUGGCUAAUAUCCAUUGUACUUGACGGUACCCCUAAAGGAAGCACCGGCUAACUCCGUGCCAGCAGCCGCGGGUAAUAC
Molecule: ribosomal RNA, 541 nt
Filed under: uncultured Geobacteraceae bacterium
Lineage: Bacteria; Pseudomonadati; Thermodesulfobacteriota; Desulfuromonadia; Geobacterales; Geobacteraceae
Description: bacterial SSU rRNA
Rfam family: Bacterial small subunit ribosomal RNA
Source: RNAcentral